GUGAAGAACGCAGCGAAAUGCGAUAAGUAAUGUGAAUUGCAGAAUUCAGUGAAUCAUCGAAUCUUUGAACGCACAUUGCGCCCGCCAGUAUUCUGGCGGGCAUGCCUGUUCGAGCGUCAUUUCAACCCUCAAGACCCCUUCGGGGGACUUGGUGUUGGGGACCGGCACAGGGGCCUGCCUGCUUGUCUUGCAGCGCCCUCGCCGCCCCCGAAAUGAAUUGGCGGCCUCGUCGCGGCCUCCCCUGCGUAGUAGCACAAACCUCGCAACGGGAACGUGACGGCGGCCACUGCCGUAAAACAACCCAAUUUUAUUAGAGUUGACCUCGAAUCAGGUAGGAAUACCCGCUGAACUUAAGCAUAUCAAUAAGCGGAGGA
RNAcentral lists this unclassified non-coding RNA (374 nucleotides) under soil metagenome. RNAcentral describes it as "partial contains 5.8S ribosomal RNA, internal transcribed spacer 2, and large subunit ribosomal RNA". The stretch from base 2 to 119 matches the Rfam family "5.8S ribosomal RNA", at positions 37 to 154 of the family's 154-position model. The record is from RNAcentral.